This 423-nucleotide ribosomal RNA is filed under the name uncultured prokaryote. RNAcentral describes it as "bacterial SSU rRNA". It matches the Rfam family "Bacterial small subunit ribosomal RNA", at positions 355 to 776 of the family's 1533-position model. RNAcentral also lists the same sequence under 1 other name. The record is from RNAcentral.
UGAGGAAUAUUGGUCAAUGGAGGCAACUCUGAACCAGCCAAGUAGCGUGAGGGAUGACUGCCCUACGGGUUGUAAACCUCUUUUGUCGGGGAAUAAACCGCAUCACGUGUGAUGCUCUGCAUGUACCCGCAGAAUAAGGACCGGCUAAUUCCGUGCCAGCAGCCGCGGUAAUACGGAAGGUCCGAGCGUUAUCCGGAUUUAUUGGGUUUAAAGGGAGCGUAGGCGGGCUGUUAAGCCAGCCGUCAAAUUGCGGGGCUCAACCCCGUAUCGCGGUUGGAACUGGCGGCCUUGAGUGGGCAAGAGGCGCGUGGAAUUCGUGGUGUAGCGGUGAAAUGCGUAGAUAUCACGAGGAACUCCGAUUGCGAAGGCAGCGCGCUGGGGCCUUACUGACGCUGAUGCUCGAAGGCGCGGGUAUCAAACAGG